This 308-nucleotide ribosomal RNA is filed under the name uncultured eukaryote. Its description in RNAcentral is "bacterial SSU rRNA". It matches the Rfam family "Bacterial small subunit ribosomal RNA", at positions 97 to 421 of the family's 1533-position model. The record is from RNAcentral.
GGCGGACGGGUGAGUAACGCGUAAGAACCUGCCCUUGGGAGGGGAUCAACAGCUGGAAACGGCUGCUAAUACCCCAUAGGCUGAGGAGCAAAAGGAGGAAUCCGCCCAAGGAGGGGCUCGCGUCUGAUUAGUUAGUUGGUGAGGCAAUGGCUUACCAAGGCGACGAUCAGUAGCUGGUCCGAGAGGAUGAUCAGCCACACUGGGACUGAGACACGGCCCAGACUCCUACGGGGGGCAGCAGUGGGGAAUUUUCCGCAAUGGGCGAAAGCCUGACGGAGCAAUGCCGCGUGAAGGCAGAAGGCCCACGG